Hemicordylus capensis (graceful crag lizard) is the source of this 454-nucleotide long non-coding RNA. RefSeq lists it as uncharacterized. The transcript is spliced from 3 exons. NCBI's taxonomy places the organism in Eukaryota, Metazoa, Chordata, Lepidosauria, Squamata, Cordylidae. The record is from RefSeq and is a predicted model, not a curated record.
GCCAGGAAGGAGGAGGCAGCCAGAGUGUUCUCUGCAGCAGAAGACCCUUUGCUGCCCUGCUCAACCCAGACCAGCAUUUGCCAGUGCCUCUCCCUUUUCAGAAAAAGUAGCUUAAAACCAGCAUUUUAAAACCCGGAAAUACCUCGAGAUAAACUAGAAUUCGCAAGACAAAGCCUGAUUUAUGUGAGGAGUGGGUCCAAGGAUCUCGAAGGGACUUCAGGCAUUCAGGCAGCAAGACUUUGAAUGGCUCAUCAGAGAAAGAUCACUGUGAACAUGACCAUGUUUGACAGGAGUACCACUGGAGAUAUCGUGUUGACCAUAUUAGGACAUCUGGAAGAGGAUCAAAUUGUCAUGAUUCAAGAUGGAUUGUGGAGGUGCAAUAAACAGAUAAAAUGGUAUCUCUGGAUCUGCCAGCUAGCUUUUCGCAAAGGCCCUCAGAGCACCAACUGUUUCA